Long non-coding RNA from Canis lupus familiaris (dog), 1389 nucleotides. RefSeq lists it as uncharacterized. The record is from RefSeq and is a predicted model, not a curated record. NCBI's taxonomy places the organism in Eukaryota, Metazoa, Chordata, Mammalia, Carnivora, Canidae. The transcript has 3 exons.
GGCUCAAUCUCACGAGUGGAAAUCAAGAGUCAGACAUUUUUCCAGGGAAAUCUGACCUUAUCACCCUUACCUCGCCUGCAAGAUCAGGUCCAAGCUCCAUGGCCUGGCCAGAAGAAGCCAUCUCUCCCCAACCUGUUCAUCCUGUGGUUCCCCAGUCCGGAGGAACCCUCACACACACCCGACAGGCAGUGCCAUCUGCCUCAUGACCCUUCCUCGUGUCCUGCUUCCCACCCCACCCCCACCCCGAGCCCUUCACUUCCUCCUCUGGCCCAGCAGGGCACCCUGAAUGAAGCCAGCACCCACCAUGCUCUUUUCCUUCACCAUCUACGGGCACAAUUGCUACACAACAGGCACCACGUGCGACAAUGGGAUCUCUGGUGAGCCUGACACGGAGGCAACCCCUGCCCUAACAUGCAGCUAACCCCUGCAUGAACAGACAGACAGGACCAACUGCUUGAGCAUUAUGCAUUUCCCAACGGAGGGAAUGAAACGCAGAAAGGUCUCGUCUCAUGGGCCUCGCGCAAGACUGAACGAAGUCUUUGUUACCACUGCAAACAGGAGGCACAGGACGGUGUAACACCAGGACACGCAGUGAUCAGUGACCUGGCUAUCCUAAGGUGAGGAACAACUGGCUGAAAAGCAUGCUCAAGCAGCCCUCCCACCAGGGAGGCCCUCCACGUUGCUGCAUUUUCACUGACAACAUGACUUUGUUUUCUACGCCCCCUCAAGUUGUUCUCCUGAGGAAUGAAUCGCGUACUUGUCCACACCAGAGAAAACACAGGGCAGGUCAGUGGGGGGGCAGAGGCAGCACCUCCCAAGGUGGGGGGCAGUCGCUGAGAGGUUGAGACCUGGGUAGAGGUGGAGGGACAGGGAGGAGGGAGCAGCCAAGAGGACUGUCCAUGCUCAGAAACAGGCACACAGGGGUCAGAGCAGCGAGCAGAGAAGGGCUUCUCCACCAAGGCUGGCUUCUGGGAAGGCUGGGAGCUGGGAAGGCUGCUCUACCCCCACCGCCCCUGGGGUCCCUUCUCAACACACAGUAGGAGGCUUCCAAUACGUGGGCAACUCAGAGGCGGAGACCGGGACCGGGCAUGCCGCGGGUCACGUGCCAUGAGGAAGCGGUGAUGCUCUCAUCAGUGGAGCACGUCUGUACAGGUAGAGAGCGGACGGGGUACCAACCAUGCGCUGGUCAAUCCCAUGUUACCAAGGAGACUGAGGCCCUCGCAGGGCAGCUGCACAACCAUUCCCCGGGGGUACACAGCGAGAUAGCUGCUCCAGCCGUAGACAUGCCCAGAGCCGCUCUCGGGACUCGCCUCCUCACUCUCCUCACUCACCUGGAACCUGUGCACCAGCUCCAGGGACUGGCUGUCAUUCUGGUCGGCUUCGAGGAUG